UGCAUAUCAAUAAGCGGAGGAAAAGAAACUAACAAGGAUUCCCCUAGUAACUGCGAGUGAAGCGGGAAGAGCUCAAAUUUGAAAUCUGGCGGUUCCGCCGCCCGAGUUGUAAUCUGGAGAAGCGUUUUCCGUGCCGGACCGUGUACAAGUCCCUUGGAACAGGGCGUCAUAGAGGGUGAGAAUCCCGUCUUUGACACGGACUCCCGGUGCUCUGCGAUGCGCUCUCGAAGAGUCGAGUUGUUUGGGAAUGCAGCUCAAAAUGGGUGGUAAAUUCCAUCUAAAGCUAAAUAUUGGCGAGAGACCGAUAGCGAACAAGUACCGUGAGGGAAAGAUGAAAAGCACUUUGGAAAGAGAGUAAAACAGUACGUGAAAUUGUUGAAAGGGAAACGCUUGAAGUCAGUCGCGUCUUCUGGGACUCAGCCUUGCUUCUGCUCGGCGCACUUCCCAGUUUGACGGGUCAGCAUCGGCUCUGGGGGGCGGACAAAGGCGUGGGGAAGGUGGCAGCUCCGGCUGUGUUAUAGCCCCGCGCUACGCGUCCCCCGGGACCGAGGAAUCCGGCGCUCGCGCCUGGGAUGCUGGCGUAAUGGCUUUAAACGACCCGUCUUGAAACACGGACCA
RNAcentral lists this ribosomal RNA (618 nucleotides) under Subulicystidium brachysporum. RNAcentral's name for it is "LSU rRNA". It matches the Rfam family "Eukaryotic large subunit ribosomal RNA", at positions 37 to 668 of the family's 3401-position model. The record is from RNAcentral. Lineage: Eukaryota; Fungi; Basidiomycota; Agaricomycetes; Trechisporales; Hydnodontaceae.